ACAAUAUUUUUCUUUUUAGGUUGCAAUAUAACAUGAGCUGAAGCAAGCAAAUUUCUCUGCAACAAGUAUGAUGAUCUAUCUUUUGCAACCUGUUCCAUCAGCUUAGCUGCUUCUUUGUUCCUUUCCCAAACUCUAACUACCUAAUACCCAUGUCUUGAACACCUCUAAAGUCUGUUUAAUACAUCAUGUAUAGUAAUCUUUUAUUGUGAAUUGCAUUCUAUAUAUAAACUAUAUUCAAACACUCGCAGCAAAGCGCGGGCCUAAUUUCUAGUCUAUUAUAAGCGCUGGCUCUGCCUUAUUGUUCGCAUUCCGAACAGUGACUUUCCGUUUGUUGGGCAAGGCCUGCAUCUCUUUCUCUUCUUAUUCUUUUUCUUGCUCUCGAUCUCUCUCAAAACUCCACCGAAUCAUCUCUAAUUCUUUUCCUGUUCUGCUCUUUUCUGAAGUUUCGAGAGCAUCGAUUCUGAUUACUUUCCAGAAAAUCAAAGAGCCCAAGCCAAAAAGGAAAAGAGAGAAGCCGAAGCAAAUGAGGAUAGAGAUCAUUUUCUGCAGUCUUUUGGUGAUUUUUUUUAAUCGUGGUAGCGGGUUGUGAUUGGUUCAUUUUCCAGUCCAGUGCCCCUCAGUUUCUCCAUUCCACCAUUUUCCAGGUAGAGUACCAAGAAAAAACGCAGACUUAAUCAUGCCAGAAGAUAUACCUUGACCAUUUUGAAGGUACAAUUAUUGUAAUACUGAACAAGGAAGCCUUCAAGCUACAAAGUUUACUC
This is an RNA transcript of Fragaria vesca subsp. vesca, 761 nucleotides long. RefSeq lists it as uncharacterized. NCBI's taxonomy places the organism in Eukaryota, Viridiplantae, Streptophyta, Magnoliopsida, Rosales, Rosaceae. The record is from RefSeq and is a predicted model, not a curated record. The transcript has 4 exons.